UACGUAGGGUGCGAGCGUUAAUCGGAAUUACUGGGCGUAAAGCGUGCGCAGGCGGUUUGGUAAGUCAGAUGUGAAAUCCCCGGGCUCAACCUGGGAACUGCAUUUGAGACUGCCCAACUGGAGUUUGGCAGAGGGGGGUGGAAUUCCACGUGUAGCAGUGAAAUGCGUAGAGAUGUGGAGGAACACCGAUGGCGAAGGCAGCCCCCUGGGCCAAUACUGACGCUCAUGCACGAAAGCGUGGGGAGCAAACAGG
RNAcentral lists this ribosomal RNA (253 nucleotides) under uncultured bacterium. RNAcentral describes it as "partial 16S ribosomal RNA". It matches the Rfam family "Bacterial small subunit ribosomal RNA", at positions 524 to 776 of the family's 1533-position model. The record is from RNAcentral.